Molecule: ribosomal RNA, 1236 nt
Filed under: Paracatenula sp. 'schnitzel' Dahab
Lineage: Eukaryota; Metazoa; Platyhelminthes; Paracatenulidae
Description: eukaryotic LSU rRNA
Rfam family: Eukaryotic large subunit ribosomal RNA
Source: RNAcentral
AGAGCCCAGCACCGAAUCCCUCAGCUGGUUGCUGACGGGAAGUGUGGUGUUUAGAGUGAUCGUUGUGCGUUGGACUGGCGUCUAAGUCUUCUUGACUGGGGUUUGAUGGCCCAGAGCGGGUGUCAGGCCUUUAAGGCGUUGGUUUGGCGUGCAUUGGUUACUCGAAGAGUCGGGUUGUUUCUGAGUACAACCCAAAGCAGGUGGUAAACUCCAUCUAAGGCUAAAUAUGAGUACGAGUCCGAUAGCGAACAAGUACCGUGAGGGAAAGUUGCAAAGAACUUUGAAGAGAGAGUUCAAGAGUACGUGAAACCGCCCGGAGUGAAGCGGGUGAGGCCACAUGGUUGCUUGUUGGAAUCAAUUGUAUGGUUGGGACGCAUGAUAGGUUGUCGCAUGUACUGCGAGGUAUGUGGGCAGCUUGUUGUGUGUUCCUGGCUGUGCGAUGUAUUUCUGACUCGCGAUGCGCUACGAGUGGUAACAUGGCAACAAGAAGUCACCUGAGCAGGUAGCAUCUUUCGGUUGCGCUUGUUGGCCGCAAAGUGUGAUGGCUCAGGUGCGAAUUGUUUGUUGUGUCACCUAGGACAGCUUGUUCUGAGCUGCAGCGGUUUGUGCCGUGCAGAGGGGCACGUAGGUUGUCCAGGUGGAUGUGCCUUGGCCGGGACUGCUUUGCAGUGUCGGUUGGGGUAUGUCUAUUGUGGGCAGCUGCGAUGCAAGUGAAUUGAAACGAAUUGCUGUUCGGUAGCCAGUUGGUCACUCACCCGUCCCGUCUUGAAACACGGACCAAGGAGUUCAGCAUGCAGGCGAGUCUGAGGGUUGUGCAAAACCCGAAGGCGAAGUGAAAGCGAAGGCUGCCCUGAUGCAGCUAAGAUGUGAUCCGGUGCUUAGCGAGAGCUAACCCGGCGCAACAUCGUCUCGUUGCGACCCCGCGUGGGUGCGGCGAAGAUUGAGCCUGCACGCUGUGACCCGAAAGAUGGUGAACUAUGCCAGAGGAGGACGAAGCCAGAGGAAACUCUGGUGGAGGUCCGAAGCGAUUCUAACGUGCAAAUUGAUCGUCAGACUUUGGUAUAGCGGCGAAAGACUAAUCGAACCAUCUAGUAGCUGGUUCCCUCCGAAGUUUCUCUCAGGAUAGCUGGCACUCGCUUUGAUUUUUACCCGGUAAAGCGAAUGAUUAGAGUGAUUUGGGUUGAAAAGAUCUAAACCUAUUCUCAAACUGUAAAUGGAUGAGUUGUUCGACUCUCU